CCUACGGGAGGCAGCAGUGGGGAAUAUUGCACAAUGGGCGCAAGCCUGAUGCAGCAACGCCGCGUGAGGGACGACGGCCUUCGGGUUGUAAACCUCUUUUAGUAGGGAAGAAGCGAAAGUGACGGUACCUGCAGAAAAAGCACCGGCUAACUACGUGCCAGCAGCCGCGGUAAUACGUAGGGUGCAAGCGUUAUCCGGAAUUAUUGGGCGUAAAGAGCUCGUAGGCGGUUUGUCGCGUCUGCUGUGAAAACCUGGAGGCUCAACCUCCAGCCUGCAGUGGGUACGGGCAGACUAGAGUGCGGUAGGGGAGAUUGGAAUUCCUGGUGUAGCGGUGGAAUGCGCAGAUAUCAGGAGGAACACCGAUGGCGAAGGCAGAUCNCUGGGCCGUAAACUGACGCUGAGGAGCGAAAGCAUGGGGAGCGAACAGGAUUAGAUACCCUGGUAGUCCAUGCGUAACGUAGGUACGUAGAUAGUAGGACGACUACUACGUUACGUUGUGUCGUCGACGCUACG
This 513-nucleotide ribosomal RNA is filed under the name uncultured bacterium. RNAcentral describes it as "bacterial SSU rRNA". It matches the Rfam family "Bacterial small subunit ribosomal RNA", at positions 338 to 862 of the family's 1533-position model. The record is from RNAcentral.